This 497-nucleotide ribosomal RNA is filed under the name uncultured bacterium. RNAcentral's name for it is "partial 16S ribosomal RNA". It matches the Rfam family "Bacterial small subunit ribosomal RNA", at positions 899 to 1397 of the family's 1533-position model. The record is from RNAcentral.
ACUCAAAGGAAUUGACGGGGGCCCGCACAAGCGGCGGAGCAUGCGGAUUAAUUCGAUGCAACGCGAAGAACCUUACCUGGGUUUGACAUGGGCGCUAAAACCUCAGAGAUGGGGUGUCCUUCGGGGGCGUUCACAGGUGGUGCAUGGCUGUCGUCAGCUCGUGUCGUGAGAUGUUGGGUUAAGUCCCGCAACGAGCGCAACCCUCGUUCCAUGUUGCCAGCGGGUUAUGCCGGGGACUCAUGGGAGACUGCCGGGGUCAACUCGGAGGAAGGUGGGGAUGACGUCAAGUCAUCAUGCCCCUUAUGUCCAGGGCUUCACGCAUGCUACAAUGGCCGGUACAAAGGGCUGCGAUGCCGUAAGGUGGAGCGAAUCCCAAAAAGCCGGUCUCAGUUCGGAUCGGGGUCUGCAACUCGACCCCGUGAAGUCGGAGUCGCUAGUAAUCGCAGAUCAGCAAUGCUGCGGUGAAUACGUUCCCGGGCCUUGUACACACCGCCCGU